AAGCACCUACGUGGACAUGGAUGCUGCUGGGAAGGCCCCUCCCGUCUCAGCACAGGAUACAGGAAAUUACUCACAAACAGUUAACGAUGAUAUGCUAGAUGACUUCUUCAAUCAGGAAGGAUUUUCAUAUACAGGAUUGCUUCUUGGAACUAUGAAAAAAAAUGAAGUGAAUCAAAUAAGCGGUGACCAGG
Lolium rigidum is the source of this 191-nucleotide long non-coding RNA. RefSeq lists it as uncharacterized. NCBI's taxonomy places the organism in Eukaryota, Viridiplantae, Streptophyta, Magnoliopsida, Poales, Poaceae. The transcript is spliced from 3 exons. The record is from RefSeq and is a predicted model, not a curated record.